AUGCUUGUUACUCAACUUGAAUUGGAUGUCAUUGGCUUUGAGCACAUAAAAGACUUGUAUGCGCAUGAUCCUACUUUUGAUAUUCCUUAUGCCAAGUAUUCGACGCAUACCUCUUGGGAUCGUUAUUACAUCAAAGAUGGAUAUCUUAUGAGAGCUAACAAACUUUGCAUCCCCGAGUCUUCUCUUCGUUUGUUGCUUUUGCAGAAAUCUCAUGGAGGGGGACUAAUGGAACAUUUUGGACGCGACAAGACAUUCGCUACGCUCUCCAAGAACUAUUAUUGGCCCAAGAUGUUCCGCGACGUCAACCGCUUCACCAACCGAUGCUCUACAUGUCGCAAAGCUAAGUCUAAAGCUCAAUCUCAUGGCCUUUAA
Molecule: ribosomal RNA, 372 nt
Filed under: Triticum aestivum (bread wheat)
Lineage: Eukaryota; Viridiplantae; Streptophyta; Magnoliopsida; Poales; Poaceae
Description: partial small subunit ribosomal RNA
Source: RNAcentral